AGCUUUUGACAGUAACAUUAUUAUAGCCAAUGAGGUUUAUCUGAGGUGUGAUUAUUGCUAAUUGAAAACUUUUCCCAAUACCUUGCCAUGACAGCUUGAAAUAUAGUCAGUAUUGACAAUUUUUGAUAGUCUUUAUGGAGA
This 141-nucleotide small nuclear RNA is filed under the name Microcebus murinus (gray mouse lemur). Its description in RNAcentral is "U4 spliceosomal RNA (ENSMICG00000046946.1)". It matches the Rfam family "U4 spliceosomal RNA". Rfam says of the family: U4 small nuclear RNA (U4 snRNA) is a component of the major U2-dependent spliceosome. Lineage: Eukaryota; Metazoa; Chordata; Mammalia; Primates; Cheirogaleidae. The record is from Rfam by way of RNAcentral.